RNAcentral lists this ribosomal RNA (253 nucleotides) under uncultured bacterium. RNAcentral describes it as "partial 16S ribosomal RNA". It matches the Rfam family "Bacterial small subunit ribosomal RNA", at positions 524 to 776 of the family's 1533-position model. The record is from RNAcentral.
UACAGAGGGUGCGAGCGUUAAUCGGAAUUACUGGGCGUAAAGCGAGCGUAGGUGGCUUGAUAAGUCAGAUGUGAAAGCCCCGGGCUUAACCUGGGAACGGCAUCUGAAACUGUCAGGCUAGAGUAGGUGAGAGGAAGGUAGAAUUCCAGGUGUAGCGGUGAAAUGCGUAGAGAUCUGGAGGAAUACCGAUGGCGAAGGCAGCCUUCUGGCUUAAUACUGACACUGAGGUGCGAAAGCAUGGGGAGCAAACAGG